AGUCGNANAGGUUUCCGUAGGUGAACCUGCGGAAGGAUCAUUGUCGAGACCCGCAAAGCAGACCCGCGAACGUGUGUUUAACCAACGGGGGGCCGGGGCGAGGGCGACCGAGCCUCGUCCCCCCGCCCGCCCGCUCGGCGCCUGCGUCGUUCGGGCCAACGAACCCCGGCGCGGAACGCGCCAAGGAAAACGAAACAGGAAGCGCCCGCCCCCCGCUGCCCCGUCCGCGGGCGCCUGCGGGGGAGCGCGGCCUCUCUUGAAAUGUCAAAACGACUCUCGGCAACGGAUAUCUCGGCUCUCGCAUCGAUGAAGAACGUAGCGAAAUGCGAUACUUGGUGUGAAUUGCAGAAUCCCGUGAACCAUCGAGUCUUUGAACGCAAGUUGCGCCCGAAGCCAUCAGGCCGAGGGCACGUCUGCCUGGGCGUCACGCAUCGCGUCGCCCCCUCCCCAUCCCGCGAGGGAUGCCGGGACGGGGGCGGAGAUUGGCCUCCCGUGGGCGCGAGCCCGCGGCCGGCCCAAAUGCGAUCCCGCGUCGACGGAUGUCACGACCAGUGGUGGUUGGAAUCUCAACUCGCGUGCUGUCGUGCACGGCUCCGUCGCCCGCCAGGGCAUCGUCGAGACCCAACGGCGCGCCCGCCCGGCGCGCCUUCGACCGCGACCCCAGGUCAGGCGGGACCACCCGCUGAGUUUAAGCAUAUCAAUAAGCGGAGGAAAAGAAACUUACAAGGAUUCCCCUAGUAACGGCGAGCGAACCGGGAACAGCCCAACUUGAGAAUCGGGCGGCCCCGCCGUCCGAAUUGA
RNAcentral lists this ribosomal RNA (801 nucleotides) under Nanorrhinum judaicum. RNAcentral's name for it is "eukaryotic LSU rRNA". The stretch from base 272 to 427 matches the Rfam family "5.8S ribosomal RNA". Lineage: Eukaryota; Viridiplantae; Streptophyta; Magnoliopsida; Lamiales; Plantaginaceae. The record is from RNAcentral.